Molecule: ribosomal RNA, 497 nt
Filed under: uncultured bacterium
Lineage: Bacteria
Description: partial 16S ribosomal RNA
Rfam family: Bacterial small subunit ribosomal RNA
Source: RNAcentral
GACGAACGCUGGCGGCGUGCCUAAUACAUGCAAGUUGAGCGCUGAAGGUUGGUACUUGUACCGACUGGAUGAGCAGCGAACGGGUGAGUAACGCGUGGGGAAUCUGCCUUUGAGCGGGGGACAACAUUUGGAAACGAAUGCUAAUACCGCAUAAAAACUUUAAACACAAGUUUUAAGUUUGAAAGAUGCAAUUGCAUCACUCAAAGAUGAUCCCGCGUUGUAUUAGCUAGUUGGUGAGGUAAAGGCUCACCAAGGCGAUGAUACAUAGCCGACCUGAGAGGGUGAUCGGCCACAUUGGGACUGAGACACGGCCCAAACUCCUACGGGAGGCAGCAGUAGGGAAUCUUCGGCAAUGGACGAAAGUCUGACCGAGCAACGCCGCGUGAGUGAAGAAGGUUUUCGGAUCGUAAAAAUCUGUUGGUAGAGAAGAACGUUGGUGAGAGUGGAAAGCUCAUCAAGUGACGGUAACUACCCAGAAAGGGACGGCUAACUACGUG